Molecule: long non-coding RNA, 523 nt
Organism: Mus musculus (house mouse)
Lineage: Eukaryota; Metazoa; Chordata; Mammalia; Rodentia; Muridae
Product: predicted gene 13923
Exons: 2
Source: RefSeq, marked validated
AGUGACACUCACAUUCCAUUCUAGAAAAUACCUCAUAGGGAGUUUGUCUCCACUUUGAUUCUAGAUCUUAUUGAGUUGAGAAUCAAUCUAAAACACCAAAUUCACUGAUUCCAGAGUUAAUCUAAGGAGUUUAUACAAGAUAUUACUCAAAAAGCUGUUCCCAAUAAACCUGUACUGUUGGUUUAAGAUACAUGGUGUAUGCAGGGAGAAGCAACUUCUAAUUGAGCAGUGAAUAUAUCAACAGAUCCUGAGGUGUUUCAUACUGACAAUGGGUGUGUUUAGUGGAUCACUGUAAGGAGUUCCUUAACCCAAUCUCCAGUGAGAGGGAAAUGGAUGUUACUAAAACUGCUUAGGAAUACCAUAAAAAAUGAAGUCUGUCUCAUUAAUAAAACAAGUCUGAAUCAGGUCAAGUCAUCAUGGAGAUAUUGGCUCCAAUUUAAUUGGGAUCCCCAUUACAUAUGAGACAGCAUUCUGGGUUCUUUAUCCUAUAACCAUGACUCUGAAUAAAGAAGAUUAAAAAUGA